ACUGGGGUGAAUUGAUACCUCAUUGUGGUUUUGAUUUGCAUUUCCUUUGAUGGCUAGUGAUGGGCAAAUUUUUUUCAUAUAUUUUUUGGCUAUUUGUAUUUUUUAUUUUGAGGAAAUUUUUUUAUACUUUUGUUUGUUACGAUGUUUUGACAUCUUUAAGACCUUUUCUGGCUAAGUAGACACUGCAUCCAAUUCAAAGAUGGCUUGCCAAUUCUUUGUGUGUGUGUUUUUUUUAAAGAUUUUUGAAAAUUUAUUUGAAAGAGUUACAGAGAGAGGGAGAGAGAAAGAGAAAGAUCUUCUAUCCACUGGUUCACUCUCCAGAUGGCUGCAACAGUUAGGGUGGGCUAAGCUGAGGCCAGGAGCCAGGAGCUUCUUCCAGGUUUCUCACAUGGGUACAGAGGCCCAAGAAAUUGGGCCAUCUUGCACUGUUUUCCAAGGCCAUUAGCAGGGAGGUCAAUCAGAAGUGGAGCAGUUGGGACAUGAACCAGUGCUAUUAUGGGAUGCCAGCAUCGCAGGCGGUGGGUUUACCUCCUAUGCCACAAUGCUGGCCCACCAUUCCUUAAAGAUAAGAGCAAAGGGCCCGGCCAUGAGCACAUCGUUGAUCCAUGAACUAACCAACCCAGACUCAGACCCUCUGGAUGCAAUGAUCCUCUGUUGUAAGUAUCCCAGGGUCAAGUGCCAGGAAAUUAGGGGCUGCCCUAUAAAAGCCCAGACCCUACUGAAACUAUUCAUUCCAGCCAGUCUUCACUGGUCACCCUACCUUGCCUCAUCUUUCCCAGGGAGACCCCACGAGGACAGGGGCUGUCUCCUCCUGCCCACCUUGGGAUCUUUCCCAUGUGAUGCUGUGUGGCAUGGUAUACAUCUUGAUUCCAGGGAAAUUGGGUAUCAGAAGCCUGUAGAUGGCAUCAGUCUCAGGGCUGGCACUGUGGCAUAGUAGUUUAAUUUGCCUCUGCUUACAACGCCAGGAUCCCAUAUGGGCACUAGUUCGUGUACCAGCUGUUCCUCUUCCAUUCCAGCUCUCUGCUAAUGGCCUGGGAAGGCAGUGGAAGAUGGCCCAAGUGCUCAGACCCACCUGAUGGACCUAGAAGUAGGUCUUGGCUCCUGGCUUCAGGUUGGCCCAGCUUUGGCCAUUGUGGCCAUUUGGGGAGUGAACCAGAGGAUGGAAGAGCUCUCUCUCUCUUUCUCUGUUUCUCCCUCUCUCUGUCUGUACUCUGCCUCUCAAAUAAAUAAAUAAAUCUUUUAAAACAUAAAAAAGACAUCAGUGUCAUCACUCAGUCACCUUUACAAAUUGAAGCCUGGGCAUACUAUAAUGGGACAUUCAACCACUGAUUAAUUAGUGAAGAACUACCCAAAACAUAAAUAUAUCUGCAUUUCAUUAAAAAAGGAACUAAUAUAGGCCUACCAUACAACCCAGCCAUCCCACUCCUGGGAAUUUACUCAAAGGAAAUUAAAUUGGCAAAUAAAAGGGCUGUCUGCACCUCCAUGUUUAUUGCAGCUCAAUUCACAAUAGCUAAUACAUGCAAUCAACAUAAAUGCCCAUCAACAGAAGACUGGAUAAAGAAAUUAUGGGAUAUGUACUCUAUAGAAUACUAUACGGCAGUAAAAAAUGAAAUCUGGUUCAUUUGCAACAAAAUGGAGGAAUAUGGAAAACAUCAUGCUGAGUGAAAUAAGCCAGUCCCAAAGGACAAAUAUCAUAUGUUUUCCUUGAUCGGUGACAACUGACUGAGCACCUAAAAGGAAACCUGUUGAAGUGAAAUGGACACUAUGAGAAACAAUGACGUGAUUAGACCUUGCCCUGAGUGUCGAGGAACAACUUACUAUUUUAUUCCUUUUAGUAUUUUUUUGUUCUAUUUAAACCAUUUGUUGAAUUCUUUAAUUAACACACAAUUAUUCUUAGGUGUUUAAAUUUAACUGAAAAGUGAUGCCUGUUAAAUAUGAGAGUGGGAAUAAGAGAGGGAGGAGAUGUACAGUUCAGCACAUGCUCACUCGGACUUACCCCUAAUGGUAGUUAGAAAUGUGCCAGGGGAUUCCAGUUCAAUCCCAUCAAGGUGGCAUGUAUCAAUACCAUCUUACUUGUUAAAGUUUAACAGCCCUAACCCUAACCCUAACUCUAACCCUAACCCUAACCUAGUUGAUCAAAAAGAUAGGAUUAAGUGCCAAAGGGAUUACAUAAACAAGACCAGUGUCUGCAAAUAAUAAUUGAUAGAAUUCAAAAGGAGAGAAAGAUUCUACACGGGAAGCAGGAUACACAGCAGACUCAUAGAAUGGCAAAUGCCCUAAACCACACUCUGGCCUCAGAAUCAGCCCUUAAUGCAUUCGGAUCUGGCUAAAAAGCCCAUGAGAGCAUUUCAGGCAUGGAAAGCCAAGAUGCUGUGGUAAAAAAAAUGACCUAAAUGAAAGAUCUCUGAGUGAGAUCCCAGUGGAAAGAACGGGCCAUCAAAGAAGGAGGUACCUUUUUCUGAAGGGAGGAGAGAACUUCCACUUUGACUAUGACCUUGUCUAAAUAAGAUCAGAGUCGGUGAACACAAUAGGCUUCCAUAGCCUUGGCAGCUCAUGAGAAGAGCCUCGGAUGAUUACUGACAUCAUAAAUAAGAGUGUCAAUUGUUAAAUCAACAAUGGGGAGUCACUGUGCACCUACUCCCCAUGUAGGAUCUUUGUCUUUAAUGUGUUGUACUAUGUGAAUUAACGAAAGAGCUGCAAGUGGAGGAGUCAGACGCCGUACAGCAUGAGCACUUUCUCCCAGUUCUUCUUGGAUAAUUCAAUAACUGGUCUCACGUCCUGCCUUUGGACCUGGAGGCCAAGCCUGAUUCUGCAGCCAGGUCUGAUGUUGACCAUGAGAAAAGAACACUUCUCCUCACUACUUCCCACUUCCAGUGGAUAAUACAGAAAGCCCCUGGAUGAAUCAAUUGAAAGUCAGCAAAGAUGCCAAAUGAUGGUCUCUUCUUUGAAGAGGAAGCAUUGACAGUUGUGUUAAUAAAGGCAGAACAGUAACUCUCCUCUACAGAAACACUUCUUGGUUCGUGAGUACUAGGUCUUAUUUUUCCCGAAUGGUCUGCUGUUUUCACCUUCUUUCCUGAACGAAUGCAUGUGUUGCUUGCAACAGAGCCACAUUCUAAUGAGCAUCACUCCUUCCACACGCACUGACACAGUCAUUUAAUAAGGACUUCGGCUUCCUCCUGACACUUGCCAGGAGCCGGGCUUGAGAUGAGCCGUUUGGUGUCAGCUUGCCAGUGACAAGAACUACACAUGUGCUGAUUCGGCAGUUUUGGAAGAAGAAUCAAUUCUGUCACAUCAUCUCAAAGGACGUGAUAGGAAACAUUGUGAGUGCAAGUCAAUUCAAUAUUCAUUUAGCAGUUUAUAUUUGACAGGACUCAACACUGAGCCCCAUCUCCCUUCUGUGUCCUGUACAACAAUCAGGAUGAACUGGGCUUUUAUCGCCAUACUAGUGCCCACCACUGCCCACCGGUCCUCCAACCACUAGCACCACUGCUUCUACAGCUACCGGCUAACCUAGGGCACUCAGUAUGUGACGGGCACUGUUCUGAUAAUUUGUAAUCUAAUGCAACAGCUCUUAUGAUACAGGAAUAAUCCUUACACCUGUUUUAUAAAGGUACAAAUCAAAGACAAAGCAGCAAGUAACUUGCCUGGAGUUGCACAACUGGAAAAUGGCAGAAUUGAGGCUUUCUAGCUCGGGCACCGUGCAGCAUGCUGUAAACCACCCUGCAUUUAAGCUGCAGCCCCAGCUAUGGCGGUGAUGCGGAAGGGAACAUUUGUUUGUGCAUUUUCCUGUUAAUGGAACCAACAGGGAGGUCAUCCAGUGAAAGCCGCAUUUGUGAUCAUAUCUGUUUCAUUUUAUAGUUGGUGGCCUGAGAGCCACCCCCUGGGUCACAUCAGCAGUGCUGUUUCUUGAGGUCUCCCUGCCGCCACCUGCUCUCUCCCCGUCUGCUCGGGGUUGGUUCCUCUUGGGAACACCUGGGGAAGAGCUGGGCACUUGUCAGCACCCUCCCGCUUGCAGCUGCUCCUGGGUGCCAUCAGGCACUGCUCUCAUCUGCUGGUUCCUCAGUGGUCCCGAGAGCCCAGCGUCUGUCAUCAUUCAUUCACUAAGCAAGUGGUUUCUGUGGUCCUGUAUCGGAUGCUGGGUUCUGUUCUGGGCUAUCAGCUGGAUUGCAAGGAAGAUCAAGAAAGAUGUGAUCUUCCUUUAUGGAGGUCACAUUCCAGUGGGAGAGGCAGGCAACAAAAGCAGAAGGUGAUAAUGAAGAGAAGUAACUCAAUGGAAGUUGUCAUUGCUGGAAGGAAAAAGCAGGAAAUAAAAACUAGUAGUGAGAGGGCAUCUGGAGGGAGGUGUCAUUUAAACCGAGACCCACAAUUAUGACAGUGUUCUACAUUAAGACCGUGGUGAUGGCUACACAACUCUGAAUAUACGGAAAAGCAAUUGAAUUGUAUAUUAAUCAGGUGACCUUUAUGCUAUGUAAAUUAUAUAUCACUGGACUGCAGAACAGCCACACCUCCCCCAGGGCAGGCAGUUAGCCCAGCAGUUAGGAUGCCAGUCCAGGCCCUACAUGGAGAACCUGGCUUUGAUUCCUGGCUGCAGCUCCUGUCUCCAGUUUCCUGCUGGUGCAGACCCCAAGGGUUGUGAUGAUGGCUCAAGUGUUUGUGUUCCUUCCGCUUACAUGGGAGACCUGGUCAGAAUCCUGGCUCCCGGCUUUGGCCUUAGCCCAGCCCCAGCCAUUGAGGGAACUUGGAAUGUGAACCAGUGGAUGGGAGGUCGUUUAUUUCCCCUCUCUCUUUCCCCUACCUCUCAGAUCAAUCAAUCAAUAAAAAAUUAGACACAGUGAACCACCAGGUUCAGCAGAGAUCUGACUGGAAGGGAACUGCUCUGUAUUCUGUACCUUUUUCGGAUUCUGCUGUGUAAGGUGGGUGAGCUCUCCGUUUUGCCCCUUGAUCCUAUAUUUAGGUUAUCAUUUGUCCAUCUGCGUUACGGCUUUCACACUCACAUCGGUGUUUUCUUCUGUGUUACGUAUUUGAUGUUGAGUUUAGGCCCUUAAAAAAUUCCCUUUGUUAUAGUUCUGAUGGAGUUUAGGAGCGAUCAAAAUAAGGUGUUUAUUCAAUCUGUAAUCUUAACCGAGAACUCCCCAUACGCUCUGCUCAGUUCCCACUUGUAUGCGGUCUGCGCACGCUUUUGUUCUAUAAUCCAGCCGCUGAACGUGAUUCUAUCAGUCUGAUAGUGUUUCUGUCAAUUUUCCUGGGUUUUCUAAAUGUAUAAUUAUAUCAAGUGCUUAUCACAAUCUCGACUGUAUCUUGUCAAUAUUUAUGUUUUAUUUCUCUUGGCAAUUGCAUUGGCUAAUCCUUUUAGAAAAAAGUGAAAUAAAAACAGUGAUAGAGGGCAUCGUUAUUCUUCCUGAAUGUUAAUGGGAUUUCCUCCAAUAUUUCACCAUCAAGCAUGAUGGCUUGUCUUGAAAUGCAUCCUUACAAAAAAAGAAAAAACAAAACAAACAAAAACACCCGAACAUAGGCCAGCGCCGCGGCUCUCUAGGCUAAUUCUCCGCCUUGUGGUGCCGGCACACUGGGUUCUAGUCCCGGUCAGGGCGCCGGAUUCUGUCCCAGUUGCCCCUCUUCCAGGCCAGCUCUCUGUUGUGGCCCAGGAGUGCAGUGGAGGAUGGCCCAAGUGCUUGGGCCCUGCACCCCAUGGGAGACCAGGAGAAGCACCUGGCUCCUGCCUUCGG
This is a non-coding RNA of Oryctolagus cuniculus (rabbit), 5723 nucleotides long. Lineage: Eukaryota; Metazoa; Chordata; Mammalia; Lagomorpha; Leporidae. The record is from RefSeq and is a predicted model, not a curated record.